GAUGAACGCUGGCGGCGUGCCUAAUACAUGCAAGUCGAGCGAACGGACGAGAAGCUUGCUUCUCUGAUGUUAGCGGCGGACGGGUGAGUAACACGUGGAUAACCUACCUAUAAGACUGGGAUAACUUCGGGAAACCGGAGCUAAUACCGGAUGAUAUUUUGAACCGCAUGGUUCAAAAGUGAAAGACGGUCUUGCUGUCACUUAUAGAUGGAUCCGCGCUGCAUUAGCUAGUUGGUAAGGUAACGGCUUACCAAGGCAACGAUGCAUAGCCGACCUGAGAGGGUGAUCGGCGGCAGUGGAAGUGAGACACGGUCCAGACUCCUACGGGAGGCAGCAGUAGGGAAGCUUCCGCAAUGGGCGAAAGCCUGACGGAGCAACGCCGCGUGAGUGAUGAAGGUCUUCGGAUCGUAAAACUCUGUUAUUAGGGAAGAACAUAUGUGUAAGUAACUGUGCACAUCUUGACGGUACCUAAUCAGAAAGCCACGGCUAACUACGUG
RNAcentral lists this ribosomal RNA (497 nucleotides) under uncultured bacterium. RNAcentral describes it as "partial 16S ribosomal RNA". It matches the Rfam family "Bacterial small subunit ribosomal RNA", at positions 28 to 507 of the family's 1533-position model. The record is from RNAcentral.